AGAGUACUGACUUGAGCGUCGGAGGGUCUUGUUGGAGCACCCCCAACUCUGGUUUAGACUUUCUUUGCAGGUCCCGAUGGCGGCCGUGAUCCUCUCGAAUCCAGCUUCUCCGACAUCAGUGGAAUUCUGCACCAAUAAAAUUGGCGCUAGAGGAAGGGCCUGUGUCUUCUCAGGACCCUUGUUCUUAAAGUAGCAUUCAACGAGACUAUCUCCGGUCAUCUUCUUCGACAUCUUCUUCUUCUUCUUCGACCAGAUUCCAACCUGAUGCCUCCCCCAAAGGCUUCCACCAGGC
This 292-nucleotide long non-coding RNA is filed under the name Elaeis guineensis (African oil palm). RNAcentral describes it as "long non-coding RNA (EGUI_LNC068695)". The record is from RNAcentral. Lineage: Eukaryota; Viridiplantae; Streptophyta; Magnoliopsida; Arecales; Arecaceae.